Molecule: ribosomal RNA, 521 nt
Filed under: uncultured bacterium
Lineage: Bacteria
Description: bacterial SSU rRNA
Rfam family: Bacterial small subunit ribosomal RNA
Source: RNAcentral
CAGGACGAACGCUGGCGGCGCGCCUAAUACAUGCAAGUCGAACGGUCUUUUCUAUGGAAGCUUGCUUCCACUGAGAAGAUAGUGGCGAACGGGUGAGUAACACGUGGGUAACCUGCCCAUAAGAGGGGGAUAACAUCCGGAAACGGGUGCUAAUACCGCAUAGUUUUCUUGAUCGCAUGAUCGGGAAAGGAAAGACGGCCUUUGUGCUGUCGCUUAUGGAUGGACCCGCGGCGUAUUAGUUAGUUGGUGAGGUAACGGCUCACCAAGACGAUGAUACGUAGCCGACCUGAGAGGGUGAUCGGCCACAUUGGGACUGAGACACGGCCCAAACUCCUACGGGAGGCAGCAGUAGGGAAUCUUCCGCAAUGGACGAAAGUCUGACGGAGCAACGCCGCGUGAGUGAAAGAAGGUUUUCGGAUCGUAAAACUCUGUUGUCAGAGAAGAACAAGUUGGAGAGUAACUGCUCCAGCCUUGACGGUAUCUGACCAGAAAGCCACGGCUAACUACGUGCCAGCCGCCGC